This 22-nucleotide ribosomal RNA is filed under the name Hepatozoon canis. Its description in RNAcentral is "large subunit ribosomal RNA". The record is from RNAcentral. Lineage: Eukaryota; Apicomplexa; Hepatozoidae.
UACUGAUAGCGUCACAGCUCAA